GGUUUGACGAAGCAGAUGGUAAACAUGUUAGCGGUUACAUUUAUGUAUGUGACAGCGCAGUGUCAUACAAUGGUUUACAAAAUGCAGAUGACAGUUGUUAGUUUAGGCAUGUUAUAUACAUGGUGUUUUCUGCUGGUGUCUUCGUCUGAGAUUUUUGUUUUGGUGGCAAGCUAUAUUAACUAUAUACAAUAGCUUUGGUGUGAAGGGUUAGGCUUAGGGAGUAGAGUGUCAGUCCCCCGCCUCUUGGGGCGUGCGGCCGCACACCCGCUCCCUUCUGUGUUCUGCGGAAUGUUGGCAGGUUUUUAUUUGUCUUUCCUCUCCUGCCGACUUUCAGGUCUAGGGUGCUUGCCUUCAAUAGAUAGGUAGAAAAGAAAAGAG
This is a non-coding RNA of Pelobates cultripes (western spadefoot toad), 378 nucleotides long. NCBI's taxonomy places the organism in Eukaryota, Metazoa, Chordata, Amphibia, Anura, Pelobatidae. The record is from the annotation of a GenBank genome assembly.